GUGGGGAAUCUUGCGCAAUGGGCGAAAGCCUGACGCAGCCAUGCCGCGUGAAUGAUGAAGGUCUUAGGAUUGUAAAAUUCUUUCACCGGGGACGAUAAUGACGGUACCCGGAGAAGAAGCCCCGGCUAACUUCUUGCCAGCAGCCGCGGUAAUACGAAGGGGGCUAGCGUUGCUCGGAAUUACUGGGCGUAAAGGGCGCGUAGGCGGACAGUUUAGUCAGAGGUGAAAGCCCAGGGCUCAACCUUGGAAUUGCCUUUGAUACUGGCUGUCUUGAGUACGGGAGAGGUGAGUGGAACUCCGAGUGUAGAGGUGAAAUUCGUAGAUAUUCGGAAGAACACCAGUGGCGAAGGCGACUCACUGGCCCGUUACUGACGCUGAGGCGCGAAAGCGUGGGGAGCAAACAGGAUUAGAUACCCUAGUAGUCC
Molecule: ribosomal RNA, 425 nt
Filed under: uncultured bacterium
Lineage: Bacteria
Description: partial 16S ribosomal RNA
Rfam family: Bacterial small subunit ribosomal RNA
Source: RNAcentral